RNAcentral lists this ribosomal RNA (252 nucleotides) under Triticum aestivum (bread wheat). RNAcentral's name for it is "partial small subunit ribosomal RNA". Lineage: Eukaryota; Viridiplantae; Streptophyta; Magnoliopsida; Poales; Poaceae. The record is from RNAcentral.
GUCGUGGUGAACUUCCAGUCGGUCGCCAACGCGCCGAAGCUGCGGCAGUCCAAGUUCAAGAUUGGUGGAAAUGAGAAAUUUGCGAGGGUGGUUGAAUUUCUUCGCCGCCAAAUUCACCAGGACACAGUGUUUCUCUAUGUGAAUAGUGCAUUUUCGCCGAAUCCAGAUGAGUUGAUAUCUGAUUUAUACAAUAACUUUGGAAUCGAUGGGCAGCUGGUGGUCAAUUACGCAUCAUCCAUGGCAUGGGGGUAA